This 1439-nucleotide ribosomal RNA is filed under the name uncultured organism. Its description in RNAcentral is "16S ribosomal RNA". It matches the Rfam family "Bacterial small subunit ribosomal RNA". The record is from RNAcentral.
GGGCUUAACACAUGCAAGUCGAGGGGCAGCAUGGCCUUAGCUUGCUAAGGCCGAUGGCGACCGGCGCACGGGUGAGUAACGCGUAUCCAACCUGCCUUACACUCUUGGACAGCCUUCUGAAAGGGAGAUUAAUACAAGAUGUUAUCAUGAGUAAGCAUUUUCGCAUGAUUAAAGGUUUACCGGUGUAAGAUGGGGAUGCGUUCCAUUAGAUAGUAGGCGGGGUAACGGCCCACCUAGUCUUCGAUGGAUAGGGGUUCUGAGAGGAAGGUCCCCCACAUUGGAACUGAGACACGGUCCAAACUCCUACGGGAGGCAGCAGUGAGGAAUAUUGGUCAAUGGACGAGAGUCUGAACCAGCCAAGUAGCGUGAAGGAUGAAGGUUCUAUGGAUUGUAAACUUCUUUUAUACGGGAAUAAACGAAUCCACGCGUGGAUUUUUGCAUGUACCGUAUGAAUAAGGAUCGGCUAACUCCGUGCCAGCAGCCGCGGUAAUACGGAGGAUCCGAGCGUUAUCCGGAUUUAUUGGGUUUAAAGGGAGCGUAGAUGGGUUGUUAAGUCAGUUGUGAAAGUUUGCGGCUCAACCGUAAAAUUGCAAUUGAUACUGGCAGUCUUGAGUACAGUUGAGGUAGGCGGAAUUCGUGGUGUAGCGGUGAAAUGCUUAGAUAUCACGAAGAACUCCGAUUGCGAAGGCAGCUUACUAACCUGUAACUGACAUUGAUGCUCGAAAGUGUGGGUAUCAAACAGGAUUAGAUACCCUGGUAGUCCACACGGUAAACGAUGAAUACUCGCUGUAGGCGAUAUACAGUCUGCGGCCAAGCGAAAGCAUUAAGUAUUCCACCUGGGGAGUACGCCGGCAACGGUGAAACUCAAAGGAAUUGACGGGGGCCCGCACAAGCGGAGGAACAUGUGGUUUAAUUCGAUGAUACGCGAGGAACCUUACCCGGGCUUAAAUUGCAACCGAAUAUGGCGGAAACGCUAUAGCUAGCAAUAGCGGUUGUGAAGGUGCUGCAUGGUUGUCGUCAGCUCGUGCCGUGAGGUGUCGGCUUAAGUGCCAUAACGAGCGCAACCCUUGCCGAUAGUUACUAACAGGUCAUGCUGAGGACUCUGUCGGGACUGCCAUCGUAAGAUGUGAGGAAGGUGGGGAUGACGUCAAAUCAGCACGGCCCUUACGUCCGGGGCUACACACGUGUUACAAUGGGGGGUACAGAGGGCUGCUACCACGCAAGUGGAUGCCAAUCCCAAAAACCUCUCUCAGUUCGGAUUGAAGUCUGCAACCCGACUUCAUGAAGCUGGAUUCGCUAGUAAUCGCGCAUCAGCCACGGCGCGGUGAAUACGUUCCCGGGCCUUGUACACACCGCCCGUCAAGCCAUGGGAGCCGGGGGUACCUGAAGUGCGUAACCGCAAGGAGCGCCCUAGGGUAAAACUGGUGACUGGGGCUAAG